This 990-nucleotide long non-coding RNA is filed under the name Bos indicus x Bos taurus (hybrid cattle). Its description in RNAcentral is "lncRNA (ENSBIXG00000028658.1)". The stretch from base 302 to 373 matches the Rfam family "tRNA". The record is from RNAcentral. Lineage: Eukaryota; Metazoa; Chordata; Mammalia; Artiodactyla; Bovidae.
CCCCACUUCGAUGACAUGGCAGCCGGAGCACAGACUGUCACUCAGAUACUGUGAGAAAUGUGAAAAGGGUAUUCUUGUCUUUCCAGGUGGCUUCAAAACUCCUUUCCCACCUCAAACAACGUCUGUAUCUACUCUGACUCAUAUGUUUGGGUGAACUUUGCUUGGUACUCAUCUGUAUGGUAAUACCAAAAAGUAUUUCCAGGCAGAAAAUCAGCAUUUUAGUGGGUACAUUGUUUUGUGUUUGGUGACCAUUUUGUUCUCUGGGUUCUAGAGUUAUAGGUACAUUUUGAAGGCUAGGACUUCCCUGGUGGCUUAGAUGGUAAAGCAUCUGUCUACAAUGUGGGAGACCCGGGUUCAAUCCCUGGGUUGGGAAGAUCCCCUGGAGAAGGAAAUGGCAAUCCACUCCAGUACUAUUGCCUGGAAAAUCCCAUGGACAGAGGAGCCUGGUAGGCUACAGUCCAUGGGGUCGCAAAGAGUCGGACACGACUGAGCGACUUCACUUUCACUUUCACCGUUGAAGGCUGUCUUGGCCAGAUUUCGGUUAGUCUUUGGCAGUAGGGGACAACACAGAAAACCAUCCCUAUCUACUCUUUUCUAGAAAGAACACUUCUAUCAGAAGCACCAUUUUAUUUCCACACCCACCAACAGGCUCAGUAAAGGAAAGGCAAGUAACAGUUACUAAGUACAGGACAUUUUUUCCCAUGAAUUAUCACUCUUCAGGCAUGGUCAGGAGGCUGCUAGUAAACCAGACUCUGAAAACUCAGACUGCUCUGGAGAAAUCAUUAACCUCCAUAGCUGUGGUCAGACUGAGGACACACGGAGAGCAUGGCUUUGUCCAAGACAUACAUCCGGGCCAUCUGACAUAUCCUGUUUUCCUGUGACUCUACUUCACUAAGUUUGGAGAGUAUUGAAUAUGACCUCUUUGGAUAGAUUAGAUAACUAUUAAGCUCCUUCCAUUAGACUAUUCAGGUAUGACCUAAAUCAAAUCAC